UUGUGAUUGUGAUGGAGCAGAGUAGAGAGCAGAGUUUGCUGAGAGUUUUAUACCAGUAAGAAGGUACCUAUUGUGUUUUUGAGUGUGUUCAUUUGCUUUGUGUAUUGGAAUAUCACACUCUCUACACAUAAUAGCCCUGUCUUGUUGACAAAACAAGAAACCCCUCCUUUCCUGACAGAUGUCACACAUAGGAGCUUGUUUAGGAGAAGGUUGAACAAGAGAAAAACGUUGAUGUUUGCUAGCAAGUUUGUUAACAUGAUGGACACGAUGAUCACAAUCAUCACAAAGAGCAGCCUCAUCCGCUGUACAAAAAACGAUAGCUUCCUUCUUGUUACACACAUCACAUUGAAUCUUCAUUUGAAUUCAAAUUUAAAUUCAAAUUAUAUCCUUUUUUUUUAAUGGAUCAAGAUUGUUGUUAUAAGUGAAAAGAGAAAAAAAGAAAAGAA
Molecule: unclassified non-coding RNA, 446 nt
Filed under: Hevea brasiliensis (rubber tree)
Lineage: Eukaryota; Viridiplantae; Streptophyta; Magnoliopsida; Malpighiales; Euphorbiaceae
Source: RNAcentral